This 2307-nucleotide small RNA is filed under the name Pongo abelii (Sumatran orangutan). RNAcentral describes it as "retained intron". Lineage: Eukaryota; Metazoa; Chordata; Mammalia; Primates; Hominidae. The record is from RNAcentral.
CGGUGACCUCCGUGUGGUCGGUGCGGGCGGAGUCUUCCUCGAUCCCGUGGUGCUCCGCGGCGCGGCCUUGCUCUCUUCCGGUCGCGGGACACCGGGCGUAGAGGGCGGUCGCGGCGGGCAGUGGCGGCAGAAUGUUGGCUACCAGGGUAUUUAGCCUAGUUGGCAAGCGAGCAAUUUCCACCUCUGUGUGUGUACGAGCACAUGAAAGUGUUGUGAAGAGCGAAGACUUUUCGCUCUCAGCUUAUGUGGAUCGGCGUGACCACCCCUUGCCGGAGGUGGCCCAUGUCAAGCACCUGUCUGCCAGCCAGAAGGCCUUGAAGGAGAAGGAGAAGGCCUCCUGGAGCAGCCUCUCCAUGGAUGAGAAAGUCGAGUGUGGGUAUUGAAGGGACCCACAGGCGCGCCCAGCAGCUCUUGGAAGUGUGUGUGUGUGUGUGUGUGUGUGUGUGUGUGUGUGUGUGUGUGUGUGCGUGCCUCUGCUCACUUCUGGGCCUACUGUCUAGAGAGCAGUCUUGCACAGGAGGGUUGCUGUGCUGGGUUUCGGGGUCACUGUCCCAGGGCCCCAGUUUAUGUGCUCACCAGUCACUUAGCUCUGCCAGCUGACAGAAUCUUUUGCUAGGCCCCCUUCUCUGUGCUGAGUGGAGGUAGCCUCUCAGCAUAUUUGCUGAGUAAGACAUUGUUAACUGUAAAUUACUGAAAGAAACUCAGCAAAAUGCAUAGUGUUUGAUAUGAAAGGGGCAUAAAAAUAACGAGAUUAAAUAGACCCUAACACUGUAAUUCAAGUAAGAAAUAAUUUUGCAGUUUUAAUUUGCACCUAAAGCAAACUGCAUUUUCUUCCUUUCUUGCUCUGUCACAUGCCUGCGUGGGCACGUGCGUGCACAUACGUGCAUGAACAUGAUGUGGCCCGGGUUGGUGUAUCCUUCAGCUCUGUGUUUCCUCCUUCACAAGUGUGGUUUUGGGGAGAAGUGGUUGAAUGUUGCAGAGGAGGGAGCUGCUGACCUUUGUACCUGUAAAUGGCUGUCCUCUCUGCCCCCAGUGUAUCGCAUUAAGUUCAAGGAGAGCUUUGCUGAGAUGAACAGGGGCUCGAACGAGUGGAAGACGGUUGUGGGCGGUGCCAUGUUCUUCAUCGGCUUCACCGCGCUCAUUAUCAUGUGGCAGAAGCGCCAUGGUGAGUAGAGAGGGAGGAAGGCACGGGCGCCUGGCCUGGGGCUCCAGCCUGCAGUGCCCAUUGGUGGGCUGUGGGGGACCUCCACAACUUGAGGCCGUGAGAUAGGGACUGCAUUCCAGAGUUCAUCUCAGGAUUGUUUUCCAGGCCUUGGUGACCUGGAGAACUGAAGUCGUGGGAGGUUAGUUUAUAAGCCAGCAUCUGAUUAUUCAUAGUCAGCCAUGCUUGUUGGGUGGUAAAAUACCUUAACUACUUUGUACAGCACACCACAUUUUCAGUAGCAAUUUAUGUGCUCACCAGUCACUUAGCAAAAGAUGACUUCGUGAAGGUUCGAGCAAGGAGAAGGGGACUCAUUCAUUUAAUGACUGUCUCGACUGUUGUGAGGACUGCAUCUCAACAGCCAGCAUCUGGGGAUCCCGACCUGAUAGUUUGUGUGUGGGCAUUGCUGGGUUGCUCGCUCAUGGUAACGACUCUUCUCCGAGGUUCUUUCUGUCCAGGCAGAACAGGCAUUUUUGCAUUCUGAAUAGUUAUAUUCUCGUACUUUUGGUUUGAAUGUGGAUGUGGGUUAAUAACAGACCUGAAUCUAUUUGAUCUUCCAGGUCACCUUGGGCUCUGUUUGUCAGAUCCUGUUAUCCAUAGCCUUUAGAGAGGACCUUCUGCUUUUAGCUUAUUUUGUUGCUAACUUUUUACAAACAAAGGGCUAAUUUUAAAAUGUCAGCGUUGUCAGUGGUCAGAAACCAUGUGUUUGAGUGGGUGUUGAGUGGCAGGUGGCUCUGCUGACCCAGUGGCUGGUGUGUCGGGAGGAUUUAACCUGUGUGAGGGAUUGGCGUAGAAACAACCUGUUGAGACAGUCUUGCCCAUAACCUGUCUCACACCGUAGUGUACGGCCCCCUCCCGCAAAGCUUUGACAAAGAGUGGGUGGCCAAGCAGACCAAGAGGAUGCUGGACAUGAAGGUGAACCCCAUCCAGGGCUUAGCCUCCAAGUGGGACUACGAAAAGAAUGAGUGGAAGAAGUGAGAGAUGCUGGCCUGCGCCUGCACCUGCGCCUGGCUCUGUCACCGCCAUGCAACUCCAUGCCUAUUUACUGGAAACCUGUUAUGCCAAACAGUUGUACCACUGCUAAUAAAUGACCAGUUUACCUGAAA